CACAAAUGCGAUGAGCCUAGCCGAAGGUAUCACUGCGAAAAUGGCAGGCCACGCCCCUUCCAAGGUCAUCGGCCAGGUCGAGGUUGGCACGCAGUGCAGCUUGCCUCUGGCUGACAAGUCUGUUGGCUGCUCCUUCAGAGAAGGCAGUGAGUCGAGGAGCGUGCAGACUACAGGGACUGUGGAUCAAUCAGUCUCCACCUCAGGAUCGAUGCCUUCUAUUUCUCCAUCAACAGCCAACGGUGACGAUUCACAGCAGGGAUGCCUGCACCAAAACCAUCCUUCUGGCCAUAAGACUGAUAAAUUGUUCCGUCUAGAAGCACAUGUCAGGGUCUAUAGAGGAGGGCUUUGGUUUAAGUGCCAUUUGUGCCCUCACAGCUUCGCAAAAAAAGAGACCCUGAAGAAGCAUUUGCGUGUGCACAGGGGUGAGCGGUCAUUUCAGUGUACCUUAUGCCUUGAGAGGUUCUCAUGGAAGACCCACCUGGAAGUUCACCUGCGCACCCACACAGGUGAGAAGCCAUGGCAUUGCCCUUCGUGCCCUCAACGCUUCUCGCAUAAGUCCAGCAUGAAAGCCCACCUGCGCACCCACACAAGCGAGAAGCCAUUCAAUGCCAUUCAUGUCUUCAGAGCUUUGCACAAAAGUCCCACCUGAAAACCCAUCUGUGCAACCAGACAGGCAUGCCAUCGGCUGCUCUGAAGGCUGGGCUGACAGGUUGCGUUGUUCAUCUCCGGGGGCAUCCCGGCCUUGCAAACUUCGGGCCAUUGUGCUGAAAGGCAAGAAGACAGGAGAGCAAGGGGAAGGUGCUCCUGCCUUGCGAACCUGCACAUGACGCCUACAGCCGCAGUAGGAGUACUGGUUACGGCACUAAAUGCAAAGAACUGAGACAGAUGCCAUGGCUACCCUGAACUUCCUCUCUUAUUGGAACUCUAGUGAAAACGAUAAUGAUAGGUAAGAGAUGCCACCUUCUUCUCUAUGCGACAAGUACCCAAGCAUGCAAGGCAAGAAAACAGGAAAAUUAGGGGUGGUUUAUGUACCUACUAAGUAAAGAACCAAUCACUGGGGACUAAGGAGCUCCGGAAGAGAAAAGUGAAGGGUAUAGUUGGAACACGGAGGAAAGCCACAUAGGAAGAAGUUUGCCCAGAGAACUGUGCCGAAGACAUGCUGUCCGUUUUUGGAACCAGGCCGCCAAAACUUCACUGGACCAGGGCAACCAGUCAAGGCUUGGCCAACACAUCGCUACAAGAGCAUGCUUUGCAACUUCACCAGCCACAGAAUGCUAACACAAGGCCUGUGAGCUACCAUUUCUGUGGCCAGAACACAGCCUUACAAGCUUCUGCCUGGCCAGGCCAGAACAAUUCCUCCUAGUGUUCCUGUUGGAGGUUCCUGAUAUGGCCUCUGCUUCU
This is a non-coding RNA of Dermacentor albipictus, 1401 nucleotides long. The record is from RefSeq and is a predicted model, not a curated record. NCBI's taxonomy places the organism in Eukaryota, Metazoa, Arthropoda, Arachnida, Ixodida, Ixodidae.